AUCCACCUGACGAGUCUCAAAUCAGACGAAAUGCGCGUUAUCCUGGAU
Molecule: non-coding RNA, 48 nt
Filed under: Trichobilharzia regenti
Lineage: Eukaryota; Metazoa; Platyhelminthes; Trematoda; Strigeidida; Schistosomatidae
Source: RNAcentral